CCACUUUGUGGUUCAUGACUGGGGUGAAGUCGUAACAAGGUAGCGCUAGGGGAACCUGGCGCUGGAUCACCUCCUUACACGAUGAU
This 86-nucleotide ribosomal RNA is filed under the name Vibrio cholerae. RNAcentral's name for it is "partial 16S ribosomal RNA". The stretch from base 1 to 77 matches the Rfam family "Bacterial small subunit ribosomal RNA", at positions 1457 to 1533 of the family's 1533-position model. The record is from RNAcentral. Lineage: Bacteria; Pseudomonadati; Pseudomonadota; Gammaproteobacteria; Vibrionales; Vibrionaceae.